Long non-coding RNA from Epinephelus moara (kelp grouper), 2571 nucleotides. RefSeq lists it as uncharacterized. The record is from RefSeq and is a predicted model, not a curated record. NCBI's taxonomy places the organism in Eukaryota, Metazoa, Chordata, Actinopteri, Perciformes, Serranidae. The transcript is spliced from 3 exons.
UCCCUUUUGUUUAGAUAAUGGUCUUGUAGGCUACUACUGUAGAAUAGAUUGGAGUACAAAUUACAGUGAUUUAAAAAUGCUUCCACAGAAAAGGCCUGAUUUAACAGAGUUUUCUCCACCAUUUGAAAUGUAGUUACGUACAUCCCUCUUUUUAGACAUGUCGGCCUGAUCACUGGUAACCAUAACAAGGCCAACCUGAAAUAAGUAGAUGACCUGCCCCGCUGGUGUCAGGACAACAAUAUUAUCUUGACCAUUAGCAAGAUUAAGAAGAUGAUAGUGGACUUUGGGAAGAAGUUGGGAAAGAACUAUGUCUCCCAUAAUAUCAGAGGGCCUGACCUGGGCAGUACAUACUAAAGGCCUUUGCACACUAAGUCCGUUUUUUUCGUCCGAAAUUGUUGCUCGUCUAAAAACACAUAAAACAUCACGUUGUGUCAGUCAUGUUUGCAGACUGAGUCCCAAACUUCCGCCUGUUUGGAACAGGUUCGAUUUACUGCGUUUUAGUUUUUCGCAUCCGUCAGAAGCCUUUCGAGACAUUUGACCAAGAAUCAGUGAAUAAAACUUGGUGGUGGGACUCAGCCGUGACAAGACAGAGGAAGGGGCCGCACAGAAUCAUUUCAUAACUCAGACAGCUACUUUCAGUAGGUCAGAUAGUAAUAUUCAGGUGGAUGAUGACAAAGAGGAGGAUGUGGACCGCACACAGAAUGUGGAGACAGAUAAGAAGGACAGCUCCGCCCCUUCAUGCAGCUGCGGUGCCAAAUGAAAGAUGGGGAGGGUGCCAGAUCGGUAACUCCUGUGGAGAGAGGCAAAGGAGGGAAUGUGUCUUUUAAUUUUGUCACGUAUUGCGAUUUUCAUACCGAAUAGAACAAUAAAACGCAUGGGACUCAGUGUGCAAGGAUGCUUGAGAUAAUUCUAGGUGUCCCCUCAUAUACUGAGGAAUUUCUACUCCUGCACCACUGAGAUUGUCUUAACAGGAAACAUCACUGCUUGGUACAGAAAUGGUACCAAGGACCACAAGGCCCUGCAAAAAGUGGUACAUUAUGAUUUGGCUGAACACACUAUAGAUGUGGCUUUACCACUUUACUUGAUCUUUACAACAGGUGCUGCAAAGAUAAGGCCAGGAGGAUCAUUAAAGAUCCCUGUCACCCUGAUUACAGCCUUUUCUCCCUGCUAAGGUUGAGAAGAAGAUGGUCUCUGAUGUAAAACGUAUCAACACUAACAUGGGGGCAUAUUUGCCUUGCUCAGUUCAUGACUCCAGAAUCCCUUGGGCCUCUUCUUUCUCCCUGCAACUGUCACAAGGUGAAUUCUCAGGGGUCUUGCUUGAAGACUAGGAACAUGCCUCCCUGUUUGUGUUAUCUCAUGACUCCCCAACAGACGCCCCGGACAGUGCAACUGCAACCUUGUUCACGCACUCACAAGGGAGUGACUCCACAAAGGGCAUGUGACAUGACCGUUACAUGUGUUCUUCUUCUUACCAUCGCUUGCCUGAGGAGCGACAGGCCAGUUGAAGGAUUGUUGUAGAGGAGGACUGGGGCAAUGAGGCUAUCUCUAAUGACAAUAAAAUAGACGGAGUUAUAAGAAACAUAUGUGCGAAUAAUUAUUUUUUACAUUCCAAUCCUUAUGUUAAGGCUUUACUUAAUCUGUUUUAUGUAGCUUUCAUUUUUUUCUUUUCACUUUUAUCUCAAUUUCAUUUAAUGAAAACAAGACACAUAUUAUUUAAUUUUAUUCAUAUUUCAAGUGGAAGUUGCCUGUUGGAGGAUAAGGCAUAUGAUUAAAUGGAUUCACAAAAAAAAGGUUACGUGUCAUUUUCUUGAAUAUGGCACCAGUUGUUGGAUUUCCAGUUCCACCUUUCACAUCUUAAGCUUUUUGUGUUGAAUGUCUACAACCACUGCCUCCAUUUGUUUCAGGGGACAGUACUUGUAAACACUUUAAUGUCUUCUGCAUUUUGUAGGAACAGAAAAUGUGUUAUUUGGAAUGCUCUUGUCAUUGUAUUGUUUUUAUUACUGAGUGGACAGUUCCCCAAAAAUACAUAUUUUUCCUCUGACCUGUAGCGCUACAUAACAACCUAGAUUGUGUUGGUGUGAGUUAUUGAGUGUUGGAGAUUCUGAUUGUGGAGAUGUCUGCCCAUUCGUCAAUAUAAUGGAACUAGAUGUCAUUUGGCUGUAAAGUGCCUGAAAAGAAGAGAGAAAAACACAUUUAAAAAAUCUCUCUCUCCAGAAAUCGUGACACAGGUACUCCAGAUAAUCCAGAGACCUUGUUGUGAGCAGUUUAGGAGCAGUUUCCUUUUGACUGAACUACACCUGCCAACUGUAUCACCACACAGAAGGAAGCAUGUAGCAUAGAACGUUUUCAGUUUAUGCUUCGACGAAAAGUUUCAGUCGUCUUUGAGACCCUCUGCAUUUUUUUAUGCUACAAGUCUAUUUCUGUUGCAUUUAUUGAAGCAUAAUCUGCACAAACAGCUGUUUACAAUCACACCAGUAUCCUGCUGUAUAUGUGUUUUUGAUAUAUUAACCAUAUUUGCAUUGAUUGAUCAGCUCCAUGUCUGUGAGCAGCAGAUGACUGGAAAUAAACGCA